GCUCCAACCUUGCGGAAGGAGCGCAUUUAUUAAAACAAAACCAAUCGUUCUUGCCAGUUGUUUGGUGAAUCUGAGUAACUCGACUCAUCCCAUGUCCCUGCCUCGGCAACGUUUCUUGCAAGUGUGUGCUUUAUCAACUUUCGAUGUUAGUUUAUGUGACUACCAUGGUUGUGACGAAUAACGGAGAAUUAGGGUUUGACUCGGAAUAGGGAACCGGAUAAACGCCUACCACGUCCAAGGAAGGCAGCAGGGGCGCAAAUCACCCUCUCUCGUCUUCAUGAGGCAGGUAAGACGAAAAUUAACGAGUCCGUUGCGUCAUUGAGGUCAGUCAUCUGAGUGGGUCCAACCCUCUCCCUUUAAUCGUGGAUCUAUUGGAGGGCACGUCUGGUGCCAGCAGCCGCGGUAAUUCCAGCUCCAAUAGCGUAUAUUAAAGUUGCUGUGGUUAAAAAGUUGUAGUUGGAUCUUUGGUGUUGUCGGCUGGUGUCCCUCAGGGUAGGAAGGGUCGGCGGACCCGAAAUGCUAGUUUUCCAUGCGUGCUCCUUAGUGGGUGCGUAUGGUGGCUAGCCCGUUUAGUGUGAAAAAAUUAGAGUGCUCAAAGCAGGCAAUUGCCUGAAUAGGUGGUGCAUGGAAUAAUGGAAUAGGUCGUCUGUUAAAAAAGUCGGUUCGGAAGGGGGCGUAAUGAUAAGGCUGGACAGACGGGGGCAUUCGUAUUGCGGCGUUAGAGGUGAAAUUCUUGGAUCGCCGCAAGACGAACAACUGCGAAAGCAUUUGCCAAGAAUGUUUUCAUUAAUCAAGAACGAAAGUUAGAG
RNAcentral lists this ribosomal RNA (809 nucleotides) under Microlaimus sp. M1. Its description in RNAcentral is "bacterial SSU rRNA". It matches the Rfam family "Eukaryotic small subunit ribosomal RNA", at positions 174 to 995 of the family's 1831-position model. Lineage: Eukaryota; Metazoa; Nematoda; Chromadorea; Desmodorida; Microlaimidae. The record is from RNAcentral.